UACGGGGGGGGCAAGCGUUGUUCGGAAUUACUGGGCGUAAAGGGCGCGUAGGCGGCUCGUUAAGUCGGGUGUGAAAACUCUGGGCUCAACCCAGAGCCUGCAUUCGAAACUGACGAGCUAGAGUUCUGGAGGGGAAAGCGGAAUUCCUGGUGUAGCGGUGAAAUGCGUAGAUAUCUGGAGGAACACCGGUGGCGAAGGCGACAUCCUGGACCAAUACUGACGCUGAGUGAGCGAAAGCCAGGGGAGCAAACGGG
This 254-nucleotide ribosomal RNA is filed under the name uncultured prokaryote. RNAcentral's name for it is "partial 16S ribosomal RNA". It matches the Rfam family "Bacterial small subunit ribosomal RNA", at positions 524 to 776 of the family's 1533-position model. The record is from RNAcentral.